UGGGGAAUAUUGCACAAUGGGCGAAAGCCUGAUGCAGCAACGCCGCGUGAGUGAUGAAGGCCUUCGGGUUGUAAAGCUCUGUCUUUUGGGACGAUAAUGACGGUACCAAAGGAGGAAGCCACGGCUAACUACGUGCCAGCAGCCGCGGUAAUACGUAGGUGGCAAGCGUUGUCCGGAUUUACUGGGCGUAAAGGAUGCGUAGGCGGAUUUUUAAGUGAGAUGUGAAAACCCUAAGCUUAACUUGGGGACUGCAUUUCAUACUGGAAAUCUAGAGUGCGGGAGAGGAGAAUGGAAUUCCUAGUGUAGCGGUGAAAUGCGUAGAGAUUAGGAAGAACACCAGUGGCGAAGGCGAUUCUCUGGACCGUAACUGACGCUGAGGCAUGAAAGCGUGGGUAGCAAACAGGAUUAGAUACCCUGGUAGUCCACGCCGUAAACGAUGAGUACUAGGUGUAGGAGGUAUCGACCCCUUCUGUGCCGCAGUUAACACAAUAAGUACUCCGCCUGGGAAGUA
This 511-nucleotide ribosomal RNA is filed under the name uncultured bacterium. RNAcentral's name for it is "partial 16S ribosomal RNA". It matches the Rfam family "Bacterial small subunit ribosomal RNA", at positions 355 to 882 of the family's 1533-position model. The record is from RNAcentral.